AACACACAGAGGUCUAUUUUUACCCUUAUAUUUUAAUUUCGUUAUUUUUUUUUUUUACCUUUUCAUUUAUAUUGUUGUAAAUAGAUUUCCCUAGCCUGAUUAGAAUAGAAACAGUAUGGACAUGGUUAAGGUGCAGACCUAUGCAAGAGAUUUCCUGAACAGCUGCAGGUAUCCAUCAGAUUAUUUCUAAUUAUCGAUCUCUCUCCAUUCCUUAGCAUAGUUAUCAGAUAGUAGGUGGUGGGCAGAAUACACUCACCCUAAGGAGUGGAAACAAAUGGAUAGAAAAGGGAUAAAAACAGACAUGCACAAGAUCUCUAUUAGUAAAAGAAAGCCCCCAUAAAAGCUAAGAGAAAUAAAUGAAUUAUAGUAGGUGAAAAAGCCUACACCUACUAGGAGAUCUCUUACCGGAUGCUACAAAUUGUUAAUCUAAAUAGAACUUAAAAACUCUAAAACAUAAAAUCGGAACCACUUAUAAAUGCAUGAAUUAAUAGAAUAGUAAAAUACAAAAAAAAAACUUAGAAUACAAAAAACACUGGUUGCAAUAUACAUAAAUUCACUAGGUGGCAGCCUUGCAUCAAAAGAUCAUCGGUAUAGAGAGAAUCUUCUACUAAACAGCGAAAACUCUUAAUAUAAAAAGUGUGAAAAAGACUUAGGAUUGGUAGGUAUUACCACAGUGACUGCAAUGAAAGUAUAAAACUAGAUUAUCCAAAACAACUUGAUAGUCCAAUAAAAU
This is a non-coding RNA of Pelobates cultripes (western spadefoot toad), 733 nucleotides long. NCBI's taxonomy places the organism in Eukaryota, Metazoa, Chordata, Amphibia, Anura, Pelobatidae. The record is from the annotation of a GenBank genome assembly.